RNAcentral lists this transfer RNA (72 nucleotides) under Camelus bactrianus (Bactrian camel). It matches the Rfam family "tRNA". Rfam says of the family: Transfer RNA (tRNA) molecules are approximately 80 nucleotides in length. Lineage: Eukaryota; Metazoa; Chordata; Mammalia; Artiodactyla; Camelidae. The record is from Rfam by way of RNAcentral. RNAcentral also lists the same sequence under 2 other names.
GUGGAUAUAGCUCAGUGGUAGAGUGCAUGCUUAGUAUGCACGAGGUUGUGGGUUCAAACCCCCAUACCUCCA